RNAcentral lists this ribosomal RNA (506 nucleotides) under Nemertean sp. 1 SA-2011. RNAcentral describes it as "partial 16S ribosomal RNA". It matches the Rfam family "Bacterial large subunit ribosomal RNA", at positions 1831 to 2594 of the family's 2925-position model. Lineage: Eukaryota; Metazoa; Nemertea. The record is from RNAcentral.
AGUUUGCUGUAUUUUAUAGCAAAUUUUUUCUGCCCGGUGGGAUUAAACGGCCGCGGUACACUGACCGUGCAAAGGUAGCAUAAUCAUUUGUCCUUUAAUUGGGGACUGGAAUGAAGGAAAGUUUGAAGGCAAGGCUGUCUCUUGCAGGAGCAAGAAAUUGCUGUUUAUGUGAAGAAGCAUGAGUUGUUAUAAAGGACAAGAAGACCCUAUUAAGCUUUAUUUUUUUCUUCAGUUUUUUUUUUCUUUUAGUAAAAAAAACUGAAGAAGACAAAUUUGGUUGGGGUGACUAAAUAGGAUUUUAUAUAUCCUCUUUUUUUUACGAAACUUUGUGUUUGAUAAUGAUCCAGGAUUUUUUGAUUGAAAGAAUUAGUUACUAUAGGGAUAACAGCGUAAUUUUUUCAUAAAGUUCUUAUUGAAGAAAAAGAUUGCGACCUCGAUGUUGACUUGUUGUUUCCUCUGUAUAAGGUGCAGUAGCUGUAAGGGUUAGUCUGUUCGACUAUUAAAAU